CAGCUUCUUUUCUUUCUUUCUUUCUUGCAUCUUACAAAAACAGGAUCGAGGGUGAGGAACUGAGUGUGAGCCAAAAAACGAUUAGUAAGCUGUAUCACCAGCUAAACAAAGACGAGAGAAUACUGUCAGAGGGCAAAGGAAACUGGAGCUCAGAGUGAGGAACCAGAACCGAAAAUUUUAGCAGCCUGCAACAUCGAAUUCUUAGGAGAAAAGGGUAAGAACCUGCACCUAUUUUCUGUUUAUUUGGUGUAACUGGAAAAUCACAUGAGCUGCACGAGAACUUAGUAAAGAAAUGGACUCUUCGCAAAGGUGAAAUUCUGUUUUGAAGGAAAUGAAACUGUCGGAUAGAAAUGGAGGAAAUUGAGAGCUGUAGUUUGAAUUGCAGCCUAUAAAUGAUGAAAAUUUAUGUAAUAACCUCUUAAUCAUUUAGUACACUUGAAUACGCAUGCUGUGUGCUGGAUUCUAGCCAAGAAAAAUUAAGUUUUGUUGCAGGAAAAUCUUGUUUAGAAACUGAUAACUCGCUGGAAGAAAAUUUUGCUCUCUAACCGAGAGACAGGUACUGAUUGUGCAGCUUGCUAUCAGAGAAAGAUGGAAACUGUUAAGAGAAUAUAAAUAUUCUUGUAGAUAAUAAAUUAGUAAGGGUAUACUUGUAAAUAGUUUGUUAGGUUUGUACUCCUAUAAAUACUAGUUGGUCACUCAUAAUACGGUGACUAAAUGUUUUCCUCCAAAAAUACCUAUUUUCAUGGUAUUAGAGCAAAAGUCCUAGGGUUAGAGUUAAACAUCUAACAAAAGUCUUGUUCACGCGAUACUGUUCAUCAUGUUCACACGGCACUGUUCACGAGGCACUGUUCAUCUUGAGUUUUGACCCUUUCUUUGGUUUGAAGUGCUAUUCGCUAUGACUGAAAGUUUAUCAAAAGGUAUUGUGACGUCCACUAAUAUUAUGCCAAUGGUGAUGCCUCAAAUCACAAAUUGGAAGUUGAAUGAUACUAAUUAUCAACAGUGAUCAAAAGCCGUUAAGAUUUAUCUGACAGGCUUAGGAAAGCAGCAAUAUCUCAUAGAUGACUCUCCUAUGGAGGACCACAAGAGACUACUGUGGAUUCAAGAGGAUACCCAAAUUCUUGGAGCAAUAUGGAAUUCUAUAGAAUCACGAAUUGCUUACAUGUGUUCUCAUUGUGAGACAACAAAACAAGUUUGGGAUUAUGUCCGGUUAUUAUACUGCAGUAAUCUUUCACGGAUAUAUGAUAUUUUUUUGGAAUAUUUUCAGUUGCAACAAGAUAACAAGACAAUAACUGAAUACUUUGCUGAUCUUAAGCGAGUUUCAGAAGAAUUAAAUGAUGUAAUGCCUCUCUCAAGUGAUAUUACAGUUAUGCAGAGGGAAAGAGAACAAAUGCUUGUGCUCAAAUUCUUGGUUGGUCUCAAGCCAGAAUUUGAACUAAUCAAAUCUCAAAUUUUAGCAGGUGAACAAUUACCAUCCUUUGUAGAGGCGUAUGCUCGAGUCUUAUGUUCUGCAUCUAAGGACAAUGCACAGGGUGAUGGUGCUCUAAUUAAUAACAAAUCUGCUUUAGUUGCUAACAACAAUCAGAUAGAGCAACUUAAUUUUGGACGUAGCUCUCGUGGAGGAAGAAGUAGAGGAGGUCGUGGGGGUCGUGGAGGUCGAGGCACCCGUGAGUGCACUCAUUGUGGUUUGAAGAAUCACACUCGUGAUACUUGUUGGGAUUUAAAUGGAAAACCACCUCGGUUUGCUAAUGCGGUUACCACUGACCAAGCUGAAUCAAGUUCUUCAGCACAAGGGUCCCAGAAGACUUUUACCAUAUCCGAGGAAGAUUAUGUCAAAUUUCUACAGUACCAAACUGUAAAUCACACAUCUCUUCCCUCUGUUUCUUUAGCACAAAAAGGUAAUGCUAUGGCUUGUCUCUCCACAUCCUCUAAUUUUGACUCAUGGAUCAUUGAUUUCGGAGCUACUGAUCAUAUGUCAGGUAUCUCUAGAAAUUUUUCUAAUUUUCAAGAGUCUACUUCAUUCCCUCAUGUUACUUUAGCUGAUGGAUCUACAACUAAAGUUAAAGGACUAGGCACUGUAGAAAUUAACCCAUCUCUUCCGCUGUCUUCUGUUCUUUACGUAUCCAAUUUGCCUUUUAAUCUAAUGUCCGUUAGUAAGUUUACUAAAUUUCUACAGUGUUCAGUUAUUUUUUCUCUUGAUUUUGUUGUCAUUCAGGAUUUGAAGACGAAGAGGAUGAUUGGUGGAGGGCAUGAACACAAUGGUCUUCAUUUUUUCAACUCUAAUGGUCCGAUUGCGUGCCCUGCCAUUGUUUCUCCUCUUGAAAUUCAUUGUCGUUUGGGUUAUCCGUCUCUAUAAAAUUUGAAGAAAUUGGUUCCUACCUUGAGUCAGUUGUCUUCAUUAGAAUGUGAAUCUUAUCAAUUCGGAAAACAUCAUCGUAUUUUUUUUGCCCCUAGAGUCAAUAAACGGGUUUCAGAACCCUUUUUGUUAGUUCAUUCUGAUGUUUGGGGUUUUAGUCGAAUUACUUCAAAGUUAGGUUUUAAAUAUUUUGUAAUCUUUGUUGAUGAUUUUUCUAGAGUUACAUGGUUUUAUUUAAUGAAAGAUUGUUCAGAACUAUAUUCCAUUUUUUUGUGCAUUUGUUACAGAAAUAAAGAAUCAAUUUGGUGUGCCUGUACGUAUACUUCGCAGUGAUAAUGCGAAAGAAUAUUUUUCCACUCCUUUUGAUACUUUUAUGAUUAAGUCCGGUAUUCUUCAUCAGUUCUCUUGUCCUCACACUCCACAACAGAACGGAGUUGCUGAAAGAAAAAUGGAACAUUCAAUCGAAAUUGCUCGAACACUUUUGUUGCACAUGAAUGUGCCUAAACACUUUUAGAGUGAUGCAGUUCUAACUGCAUAUUAUUUAAUUAAUCGCAUGCCAUCUAGUAUUCUUGGAGGCCAAUUACCUCAUUCUAUUCUUUUUGCUCAUGAACCUGUAUUUAAAUUACCUAAUCGUAUUUUUGAAUGUGUGUGCUUUGUUCAUCAGCUUGCUCCCGGCGUGGAUAAAUUAGAUUCUCGUGCUCUUAAGUGUAUUUUCUUAGGAUACACAUGAGCGCAAAAAGGGUAUAGAUGAUACAAUCCAGUUUUAAAUCAAUUUUUUACUUGUGUUGAUGUUAUUUUCUUUGAAUCCACUCCAUAUUUUAUGAAACACGGUAUGCCUUGUGAGUUAGACCAGUGUCCCUCUUUUUCCUCUCCUGUUUUACCAGCCCCUUCCUCUUUAUUACCUAAGUUAUCUAGUCCACCAGAUUCUAUAGCUCGAUUAUCUCGUCCUACUUUUCAAGUUUAUUCUCGUCGUUCCAUGGUUGAGAAAGUUCCUGAUAUGCCACGCACUUCACCAAUUAACUCUCAAUCUUCAAAUCCAGGUAUGACGCCCUCCUUUGAGUUAGAUCUUUCUAUUGCUUUACGCAAAGGUAAGAGGCAUUGUACUUUUUAUCCCAUUUCUAAUUUUAUUUCUUAUUUUCGUCUCUCAAUGUCAUAUUCUUUAUUUUGUUACUUUCCUUGAUUCUAUCUCUAUUUUUAAGUCUAUUACCCAUACUCUUAAUCAUCCUGGUUAGAGAUUAGCUAUGCAAGCAGAGAUGUCUACUUUGGAACAAAAUGGUACUUGGGAUCUUAUCCCUUUUCUUUCUAGUAAGCCUAUUGUUGGUUGUAAAUGGGUGUACACUAUAAAAGUGCAGUCUAAUGGUUCUAUUGAUAGAUUGAAGGUUUGUCUGGUAGUUAGAGGAUUUACUCAAGUGUAUGGAAGAGAUUACUUAGAAACAUUUUCUCUUGUUGCAAAGAUUACCUCGGUUCGUCUUCUUAUCUCUUUGGCAGCAACUUAUAAUUGGCCAUUGCAUCAGUUGGAUGUGAAAAAUGCAUUUCUACAUGAAGAUUUGGAAGAAGAGGUAUAUAUAGAACAAUCUCCUGGCUUUGUUGUUCAGGGGGAGAAUUCGCAGUUGGUUUGUCAGUUGAAAAAAUCCUUAUAUGGAUUGAAACUGUUUCCGAGGGCUUGGUUCGGCCGGUUUAAUAGUGUUGUCAUGGAGUUCGGUCUGACAAGAUGUGGAGUAGAUCACUCUGUAUUUUAUCGGCAUUCUAAUGCUGGUAAAAUUUUAUUAGUUGUUUAUGUGGAUGAUAUUGUGAUUACAGGUGAUGAUGUUGUGAGGAUCCAAAAAGUUAAAUCCAAUCUGCAGGCAAAUUUUUAGACAAAAGAUUUAGGUCAUCUACAGUAUUUUCUGGGUAUUGAGGUAGUUCGGUCUAAAUAUGGGAUUUAUUUAUGUCAAAGGAAAUAUGUACUCGAUAUGCUAAGUGAAGUUGGGAUGUUAGGUUGCCGACCUGUGGAUACUCCUAUGGAUCCUAAUGUGAAAUUAGUAGGAGAUCAAGGUGUAUUAUUAGAUGAUCUUAAGCAAUAUCGAAGACUUAUGGGUAAAUUAAAUUAUCUCACUGUAACGAGACCUGAUAUUUAGUUUGCAGUGAGUGUUGUGAGUCAAUUUCUUGGUACCCCAGUACUAGUCAUUGUAAUGAUGUUAUAUGGAUUCUCAGGUAUCUUAAGAGUGCUCCUGAAAAAGGGUUGUUGUAUCAAAAUCAUAGACACACUGAUGUUGAAGGAUAUAGUGAUGCAGGUUGGGUUGGUUCUGCUUCAGAUCGAAGAUCGACCACAGGAUAUUGUGUGUUUGUUGGUAGUAAUUUAGUGUCGUGGAAGAGUAAGAGGCAAACAGUUGUCUCCAGAUCAAGUGUAGAAUCUGAAUACCGUGCUAUGACUCACAAUGUGUGUGAGUUGGUUUGAUUGAAGAGCAUGUUACUUGAAAUUGGGUUUGAGCAUAAACAGCCUAUGAAUUUAGUGUGUGAUAAUCAGACGGCUGUUCAUAUUGCGUCUAAUCUAGUGUUUCAUGAAAGGACAAAACAUAUUGAAGUUGAUUGUUAUUUCAUUCGAGAAAAAUUGCUUGACGGAAUCAUCAAGACAUCUCAUGUACCGUCUGUAGAUCAAUUGGCUGAUUUGUUUACCAAGAGUUUAAGGGGUUCUAGGGUGAAAUACAUUUGUAACAAGUUGGGUGCUUAUGAUAUAUAUGCUCCAAUUUGAGGGGGAGUGUUAAGAGAAUAUAAGUAUUCUUGUAGAUAAUAAAUUAGUAAGGGUAUUCUUGUAAAUAUUUUGUUAGGUUUGUACUCCUAUAAAUACUAGUUGGUCACUCAUAAUAUGGUGACUAGAUGUUUUCCUCCCAAAAUAUCUGUUUUCAGAAACUAUAGCUAGGAAUGUAUGAAUUACGCCUACUUUAAAUAUUAAAAGACUGUUAGCCGUAGAAACUUGCAAAAGUUGGAACUUUAAGCUGAAUUUAUUGAAAGAAACCUGAUGAAAAUCUGUUAGCUUCACACGAGAGAAAUGGAGCUAAGAAACAUUAGCUAUCUUUUGCAAUUUGGCUUUUAAACUUUUUCAUUAAGCUGUGAUGUGUUAUAAAACAUCUUAACUUCGUCAAGCAAGAUAGAAAUGAGUAUAAAUUGAAGUGAACACUGAAGGAAAGAUGAAUGUAAGCUGCUGCAGAUAGGUUGGCCGAGAAAAUGAGAAUGGAAUAUGUAACUUGUUGUUGAUAUUCUGGAAACUCUUACUAAUAAACACAUGAGAUAUGUGUAAUCUCUUAUCUUAAUAGAUAGGUGCCUUGAACUGGUAAAACCUUAGAGAAUUCUAGCUAAAACUGGCAAGGAAAGCUGGUGCAAUCUGUUAGGAUGCCGAGAGCAAGGAAAUUAUCUUCUGACCAAUUUUCCUCCAAUUUCCAACACUAUAAAGCUUCAUAGAUGAUAGUCAAAGCUGCUCCGUAGAUUAAUAACUAUGUUUGGCACUAUGAGUAGAGUUAAACUAAGGCAAAUAAGGAGGAAAGCUGUGAAUCAAACUGCUGAAUUACUUCUUUGCAGAGAGAGAGAGGGAAGAGUUUUGAUCAGUCUUUCCUUUGGGUUUAGCUACAAAUUUUCUACGUUCUGUACAAGGCUGCUUUGUAGAUUAAUAAAUGUAAUUAACUUGUCUAGUUGGGACAUGAGAGUGAAAGGAAAGAUUUGAGGGAAACAUACCGAAUAUUGGACCGAUAAAUUGCUAGAAAGGCUAGUUAAUGGUUGCGAUUGAAGAUGAGAAAUUUUGUAUAUGAUGUGGUCAAUCGACAUGCUGAAAUUAUGAGUUAUUCACCUUGAAUGAAAUGUAUACUAGGUGACUAAAGUUUAAGCAAUUAAAAAGUGGAGUUGUUGUAGGUUAAGGAACAUUUGAGCUAAAAUACUGUUUAUGCUGACCAGAUGAAGGGAGAAAUGAAACUUUUAUGGAAUCUUAAAAUUUAAGCUAAUUCAUUGUGGAACUCCGCUUAUGAACAUUUAAGAAAUUUAAACAAGAAAACUAAUACGUUUAUGCAAAACUUAAUAGACAACUUAGAAUUUGAUUUGGAAAAAAAAAGAAGAGAAGGAUGAAAAGUUGGUUUAUUUUAACUUUAAGAUAUAGAGUGAGAAAUGGUUUAAUCCUAAUUUAAAUAUUUAUAAAUCAUAACCUUAGAAAAUAUGUAUAUUUCUUGGUUAAAAUGAUAAAGUAAAUAAGUUUCGAAAUGAAAUGUAGAAUAAAUAUUGAAUAUAUUAUAUUUUGUAUUUUAAAGUCAAACUUGAUUUUAAUAGUUCAAAUAAUAGGGUAAUAAAUAAUAAAUGAAUAUCUACAAAUUUUAUAUUUACUUUGGACUUAUACACUUAUCCCAGGGAAUAGCUGUGAGCCAGGAAACAAACUCGAGACUCAAGAGUAAAUUAUUUGGAUAUUUGGUGAAUGUUUUUGAAUUUGUGUGUUUAACUGUUUAUGUUUAUUUAAGUGAAAUUAUGUGAUAAAUGUGCUUAUUAUGGAAUAUUGCUAGUGAUUCAUUAUAAAGUGUAUCUCAAUUGUCCCCCGCCUUCAAAGUCGGGGGUGUACUUUAUCACACUCGAUUUAGUUGAGUUUGAAGGUUGAUAAUUGACCAAAUGUUACUGUAAGUGUGCAUGAAUGUAAGUCGUAUGUGUACUUUACUGCAUUGGCUGAACUGGGCCCCAAAACCCUCUGUUCUACGGAUUAUUCGAGCCAGCAAAGGGUUUGGUCGGAUAGGACGGAAGCUUUGGAUAACUAUUUCGGUAUACUCGAGUAUUACCCUAAAAUUGGGAGAUUAUUGAACUGAUUAUCGAAUGUAGGGGAUUGUUUAUUGUUUUGGAGGAUAUAAGGAGGUGAAUUGGCGGAGUAUGCAAUGAUAUUGAAAUGAACGUAUCACAACACUGAAAUGAAUGUACACUGAUAUUGAAAUAACUCUCAGGAGGAGUUUGUAUACUUUUGAAACUGACUAUACAGUGAAAAGUGCCUCUAAUGCGAGCACUGUAUCCUUUUAAAAGUGAAUGUUCAGUGAAGUGUUCCUUAGUUGCUUAAUUUUGUUAUUGGCUUAUCUAGUUUAAGUGUUUAUUGAUUGUCGCUUGCAUGGAAACCUCACUAAGCUAUAACUCAACCUUAUAGUUUGUUUUCCUUACAGGAGUUGGUAGUCGAGAAACGAAUAAGGGAGCUUAGGGAGUUAACAUGAAUUCUUUUGUGAUUGUAAAUUAUCUAGUAUCAUUUCACGGCUGACGUUUUGUAUUAAACUUAGCAUUGUAAAAGAUUGGAACAUGUGGUUUUAGUAUACCACAAUGUUAUCUCUGAAGUUAAUGUAAGAUUAAUGAGAGUUUAUCAAAUGUUAUCUCUGAAGUAAUGUGAUUGAGUGAGUGCUAGCGAGAGCUAGGCAGGCGAUCUGCUAACUUCUAGGGUAUGCCCUAGAAGGAGGUGGGACCGUCACAGCAGUGCUGAUUGUUUUCUUACCGGGUAAUACAGCUUGACUUAGGGUUGAGCACAAGGCAACAAAUACACCUUCAUUUGGCUUUGAGCUUUUAUGUGAUCGCUGCAACCGGAAUGAUUCUACUUCAUCAUCUUCACCAGAAUUAUCUGCCGGUUUUCUCGAUGGUGGUUUGUAAUCUUCAUCAUCUUCAUAGUCAACUAGCCCACCAGACCUUGUAGAAGGAUAGGUUGUAGUAGAACCAUUAGGCAAAUUGUGUUGGGAUUGUUCUCUCUUUCUACUUGGCAUAGAUGCUGAUGCUGAAUCUUCUUCAUCACUAUCGUCAUUGAAAUAAUCUUCCUCUUCCUUCUCAAGAGCACGAUCGUCAAUUCGUUUUCUGGAGUCUAACACAUUAGUGUUACUUCUCAAUCCAGCGCUUUCAAGUGCCUGUUCAUAUUUAACCUUCAGCGAACGUAUUGAUGGCAAAUUAUCAAAUUGGGCUAACUGUUCCCAGAAAGAAUCAACUAAGUACUUCAACAAUAUCUUCAGGUUCUCCUUUCUGAUAUACUCGAAAAGUUCCAGAACGGCAGAAUUGAGCAGAUUAUAACGACUGCCAUUACUAACAAAAGCAUCAACAAUUGGUUUCAACAGGUUAUUCUUCACAAUAUGAGACAACAGAUGUUCAUCAUUGCGUGAAAUAAGAGUUCUAAUAAAUCUAGCAGCAGCUACUACGAGGUACUUUUCUCUUCGGUGUGUCAGAAGCAAAACUUUAUCAAUCACACUAUUGAGAAGAAAGUUGCAUUUUAUUCUACACGGGUGGUGCAAAACGCAAAAGCAGAGCAGAUCACAAAUGUUUAAUAAUAUUUCUGGCUUGGCACUAAUUUGAUUUCCAGUUUCUUCAUCUGAUCUCCCAGAUUUACUGCCAGCUUGAGCAGCGCUAUUAGGUGGGCAUGAGGAUGUUAUGACAUCAAUCAAAUGAUCCAAGUGCUUCUCAUAGAAGAUGUCGAUGAUAGACUCUCUCUGUGAUCCUGAUGUAUACGAAUCCAAAAGAUUAUGAAGAAUUUGAAGAAAUUGACAAUGCAUGUCAGCUCCAAAAUCUGUGAGCAUACCCUUCACUAAAAGCCCAAAAAGAGGGAUCCCUUCUUGCCGAGUUACAUAAAAACGCAAAAGGUUUGGAUCCUGAUUUAAGAAAAGAAUGAGGAUGUCAGUCCCAGUUAAUAUGAGCUUUUUAUCUUGACUCUGCAGGAUAUCAGUUAUGAUCUCAAGUAUGUUUUCUUUAAUCAGAUCCCGAUAUAGCCGAAGUUGCUGCACUAUCUGUAAGCUCUUACUUAGGGAACAAAUCUCAUGCAAGAAGAGUACCAAAUUUUUUUUUGAUUCUGCAGAAGUUGAACAUGACUUCAAUCUUGCAAAUAAUUCUUGAAUGAAGGUGUUGCCAUCCUUUAACAAUGAGACAACAGUUGCAUUGUUUGAAUGAAUUAUGGAAUUAAGGCUUGCAACCGUAGCCUCGUCCAAUACUAUAGGCUGAAUGACAUCCUUGAGAUAACCAACUCUGUACGUCUGAUGAAUUUUUGAAAGAGCCACGGGAUCCUUAAUAGGUAUGGCCUCCUUAAAGACCACAUUCUCUUUAAGGAAAUUUCGAUGAUGAACAUGAGGUACAUCAAGAUCAUAUUCGAGGCAUCCAAUUAUAUCCAUAAUGUAUUCAUCACCAAAAUUAUAUCAUAGAUCUGCGUGCUAUUCAGCAAAAUAAUUCCUCGGACUAGUUUGAAAACCAUGUGAAGGCCAUCAAUGUUUUCCAAAUCUUCACAAAUCCUGAAGAGAUCCAUGAGCUUCCUAAUAAAUUCUAGAUCAUGUAGUAUGAGAUCUGUAACACGCAACUGAUCAGCAAUCCCACUUCCAACUAUAAUCUUUAGUAUUAAAGGUAGUGUAGACAGCUCAACUGGAGGCAACUCCCGCAAUUCACUAUUGACGUUAUGGUAUGUCUCGUUGCUCAAGGUAUUAAAGUGCAUGUUCCUUUGCACAUUACAUAUGUUGUCCCAAAUGUAAGAGCAACCAGUUGUUUCUUGAAAGCUAAAGGCCAAUUCUGUUGCAUACUCAGGAUCCCUCCAAGAAAUGAUUGUAUCUUCUUGUUUGCGGUAGAUGUCAUCUGAGCUUAUCCGGUGCAAAAGUAAUAUUUCAUUAUCUUCUUCAUCAAUAACAAAUAAACCUAACUCUUCCGAUCUCUCUAAAUAAUCAACAAUAACAUGCCCAGUUCCUUGGUCAUCCCAUUUACCAUCAUCAUUCAGCCGACAAACCUUAAAACGCUGCAUCGAAUUGUUGGUGCUGGGGGAUUUCUCCAGGGCACCCAUAGACAUGUUAUGGUGUGAUCAGAUUACCCAGGAUUUAAGAAAAAGAAAUUGAUGUAAUAGUAAAUGCAAACUCCAAGAUCAGGAAAUGGGGUUUUAUUAUAUUAAUAAUUCUGCAAAAAACUAUUACAGAAACAGAGGAGAUGGAAUAAGAAGAGAAGGGGAGAAGAAUGAAGGAAACUUGGUGAGGGGAAAAUGGAAACGCUCGGCUGAGUAUUAACCAGUGCAAAUUGCCAAAAAACCAAAAAGUCCAAUGACAGCAGCAAUUUAUCCUACUUAUACUGCGUCUAUUCCAACCAACUUCCAAGGCUCCCAAUACAAUCUAAACACGUAGCCUUCUUUUACUCAGCUCACUCCAUGACAAAGUCUCCCCCUUAAACAAUCCUUGUCCUCAAGGAUGUCAAACAAAGUUCCAGGCUUCCAAACAAAGUUUUCAGAUUGAUAUUUGGCAAUUCGCAGCAAGCAAGUAGUAUAAGAAAAUGACAAAGCUUGCUGAUUCUUCUGAGAUUGAUCUUCCAUAAGCAUGUGCAAAAGAAAUUUAGCCGCCAACUUUUGCAUAACUGAAACAAAAGAAUCAAGUAAAGGAAUUGGGAGUUCACAAGUUUGAUGGUCAACCAGGCCUUGUGGCUCCAAAAUGUUUACAACCUUUAAAGUUCUAAAUUGCCCAUCACUCCCAAAGUCAGGUCCUGGAAUUAGUUUUAGCUGAGCAACAAGAGCUGAAAUUCUAGAAGUAGCACCACCAACCAUAUAUAACCUUUUAAGAGCAACUUGAUCUGGAUAAUGCAAAUCAAGGAAUUUCUCUACUGCUUUAAAAGGUCUUGCAGGUUAGCAUCAACACAACCAAGCAAGGUUAGAAGUCCUGCUGUUACUCCUGGAUUUGAAACAGAUAGGAGAAUUCCUAUGUAGCCAUUACAGGCCAAGCCAGCUAGAAAUUGCAGACCAAAGUACCUAUUUGUUGGCUCUUUUAAUUCCAAGAAAUUAGCAAGUACUGAUAUAGCUUUCACUGGUGCAUGUACCUGUAUGAUAUCCCUAUCUUGAAACACUAUUGCUGGUAAUAUGCCGUAAACCAAUGUGCUAUUAUUCUUACUAAAGUCAAUUUGACUACACCAUAACAAAGAUUGGGAAGAUUUCUCAUUAAGAAGUUCACUUUCCCCAACCUCCAUAAUCACAAUUUUAGUUUUGUGACCACAUAUAGCAAGAGUAGAAAGUUGCCAAAUGGAAAUGCGGACACCAUAGAUAACUGUUGUACACUUCUCUACUUCUCCUUUCUGUGGACAUCUUCUUUCAAGCAAUUUGAAGCUGCACUCCUGUACAUAUUUCAAUUGUCCAUUGCUGAAGUUUUCAAGCAAGAUAACCUCACCGGGGUUGAACACGUAAAUGAAUGCAUUUGCAUCUUUUUGCACCCCAAGUGCAUUGUUUUUCACUAUCCAAAAUGAAGACACAGAGCAGUACUCAUCCACAGCAACAUUAGGAUUGCAGUCCUUACUUAAUUUAGGCAACCCUUUGAUCAAGCAAACAAGGUGUUCAACUAUUGCUAUGUAAAAUAUACCUUGCAUCGAUACCGCACCAAUUUUAGAGUCAUUACAGUCUUUGUUCAUUGCUAUUUUAGUAUUGCCCCCAGGAUCAAAUAUCAAGUCAUCAAGUGGUCUAUUUUGUUAUGAAGGAACAAUAUUGACGGCACCAUCAUGCUUUUGUUCAUCAUUAUCCAUUUUCACAAGUUUAGAUGAUAACAUAGAUUUUAGAUAUGAAGAACAGUUUCCAAACUGAUAACCACUACAGGAUAACUGAUUCCAAUUGAUUUUCACCUCAGUGAACUUUUGCUUUACCUCAUAGCUGACCCAAGACCGAUUUCUGGGACAAUGGAGAGGUGAAGCAGAGUUAAAUAUUUCCUUGUCUAUAGAGCCUUGUUGCCAAGCUAGCUCCCCUAUAAACAAUUCAUAGCUAAGCCCUUGAGAGAUAACACAAUCGUUGUGAGCCAAUCUAUCAAACACUUGGUUUAUAGCAUUUUCUUCUUGAUAGUCCCUUGCUGAUGUUUUAUGUUGUUUCUCCUCUAAAAAAUCCAUUGGAGUCCUUUCACACAAUUCAUCAAACAUGUGGCUGACUACACUUUCAUCCUUCAAGUUAGUGAUUAUAUCAUUAUGUUCAACCUCUAUAACCUCAUUUUCUUUCAUAAGCUGCUCUCCUUUUGGUAAAUCAAGAGUAGAAUCAUACUUCUCCAUUACGGCUCCCUCGAUUUUUGCUCAGAGAUAUGCUUCAUUCAAAAUCUUGGGUGGAUUCCUAAAUCCCUUUAGCUUCAUCUGGAUAUUCCAAUCAAGCCCAAAGCUAAAACCAUCAAUAAAGUAUUCCUCACUGAGUUCUGGUUUCAAAGCCAACAUCUUGUUUCUCCACUCUUCAAAUUCCUCAUAGUAUUGUACUACGUUAGUUAUUUUUUUAGGCAUCUUAUGCUCCACCAGGAAGUAAUUCGGCAUUUUAGAGAUUUGUUCAAGGGUCUCCAUAUAUAUAUAUAUGUUUUGGUUGGUCAGAAAAGAGAUGAAGAUGGAUAGGGAAGAAGGUGAAUCAGAAGUGAAGGAAAAAUUAGGAGGAAAGAUUUCUAAUCAAGCAGCCAAACCCAGACGGAUCGUAGCUGCUCUGAUACCACUGAUACGGUGUGAUCAGAUUACCCAGGAUUUAAGAAAAAGAAAUUGAUGUAAUAGUAAAUGCAAACUCCAAGAUCAGGAAAUGGGGUUUUAUUAUAUUAAUAAUUCUGCAAAAAACUAUUACAGAAACAGAGGAGAUGGAAUAAGAAGAGAAGGGGAGAAGAAUGAAGGAAACUUGGGGAGGGGAAAAUGGAAACGCUUGGCUGAGUAUUAACCAGUGCAAAUUGCCAAAAAACCAAAAAGUCCAAUGACAGUAGCAAUUUAUCCUACUUAUACUGCUUCUAUUCUAACCAACUUCCAAGGUUCCCAAUACAAUCUAAACACGUGGCCUUCUUUUACUCAGCUCACUCCAUGACAAGACAACAAUUUCUUCGUUAUUGGCGAAGUCAAAAUUUACUAGAAGAAUUGCUGCUUGGACUCAACUAUAGCAACCGAUGCAUGUAGCUCGCAAAAUUAGGGUUUUGAUUAAAAAAAAUAAUGAACUAAAUAUGUCAAAAGAUUAGUAGCUAUUUUGAAAAUUCAACCAAAAUAAGAUUAACGGUUGCUUUAAGCAAGAUCAAUUGGCGAAAACCCUCACUUCCAUGAACAAAUGAAUCUUCGAUACUUUUUCUUUGGGUUCUUUCUCCCUCUAAAACGUUUAAGCUCUGGCUUUGCUUUGUUUACUCUCUCUCUUCUUUUUAUUCCUUUUCGUGGGAGAGUCCGACAAGAUUAAUCCUAAACUAAUACCUAGCAAUUCUGUUUGCGCAGAACAAUAGUGUAUGUAAUGCAAGGACAAGUAGAAUUGUCUAUGACAAAACUGAUUAAAAAGCCUUAGUAGAUAGAUUGGGAAAAAGUACUAAAAUAAAUUGCAAGCAACCCAUAUUUAAAAAUAUACUCUUUGUUAGACACAAUGGAGACAGAGAACUUUGAUGCAAUAAUUUUCAAGCAUGUAAACAAAAGCUCUCACUAGGGGCACAAAAGUUAAGCCAGUUUAAUAAAAUAGAUCUUAGUUAAAAGGUAAUUUUUACUUGAGAGUUUCAUACUUUAAUUCACCCAAUGUUCCACAAUCUGUGUUACCAAUACCAUACACACUGCAUGAACUUGUUACAGUGUUAAUAUGUUUUUUGUAAAGGAACUUCUCUCUCAUUUUCUGUUCCAAUAGUUAUUAAACCGUUAUAUAUUCCUCAUGAACAUCUCAUUUUAAUUUUUUUGUCCCUUUAAGUUCCAACAAUUACUUAUAGGGUAGAAUACAAAAGAUAACAGACUAAAUAAUAAUAUAUAACAAAAAAAUUAUUAAAAACGCAUUUUGAAGUUAAUUUUUUUUGUCUACGAUCUUUUAUAUUCUACUAUAUUAGUAGUUUUAAAACCUAAAGGGACAAGAAAAAGAAAUAAAAUAGGAUGUUUAUGAAGAAUAUAUGAUGAUUUAGAACCCGAUUGAGGUUGCAGUGCUUUUGGUAAAAGCACUUUUUAGUGCUAAAAAUACUUUUGAGGUGUUUAGUGAAUCUUGAAAUUAAAAAUGGAGUUUUUGGUGUUAAAAUAGUUUUGGCAAAAGGUCAAACUCCCAUUUGGGGUAGUGGUGCUUUUGUUAAAAAAGCACUUUUAGGUGCUAAAAAUACUUUUGAAAGUGCUUUUCAGGUGUUUGGUAAAUAUCAUCCCAUAAAAUUAGCAAUAGAGCUUUUGGUGUUAAAAGCACUUCUAGAAAAAGCUCAAUUUGGUGCUUUUAAAAUAGCUUUAUAUUUUAAUAAACAAAAUAUUAAAUUUAAUCAUUUUAUCUUAUAUUGUGAACUAAAUAAAGAGAUAAAUGCAUUUUAAAAUUUUAAAAUUAUACAUUAUUCAAUAUAACAAGUAUUUAUAGAACUAUGUAGCCAAACAAUAUACUUAAAAGCAUUGAAACACUUAAUAAGUGGUUUUAUUAGAAGCUCUAUUAGGUGAAGUAUUUUUUAAUAAAUUACAACAACACUAAACAGGCUUUUAGAAUAACUUUUGUGUUUCAAAAAAAUAAAACAUUAAAUUUAAUUAUUUUAUCCUAUAUUAUGAAUUAAAUAAAGAGACAAAUACAUUUAAAAAAUUUUAAAUUACACAUUAUUCAAUACUACUUUUGGAACUAUGUAUCUAAACAAUAUAUUUAAAAGUACUUAAGCAUUGAAUAAGUGCUUUUAUUAAAAUCUCUAUUAGAUAAAAUACUCUUCAAUAAGUUAUAGUAGGACUGUCAAUGUGUCGUGUCGUGUCGGGUCGUAUUUGUAUCAUGUCAAAUUCAUGUUCAUAUUAAACAAGUCUAAAUCCACACAUGACAUAUUUGACUUUCGCGUUGUAUUCAUCUCAUAACCUGUUUACUAACAUAUCAUGCCGUAUUUUUACCCAAUUGAUCCAUUUAACUUUUUACAUGAAAAUUAUAGGUGACAUAUCACCUAAACUUAAAACAUGGUUCUCUUUCAAGAAAACAUGUGAUGUUCUUUUAAUCACUUUUAGUUUCAACCUCUGAUUGGAUUUUACUUAUAUAAGUUUUGAAUGCAUUGUCAUCUCAUUAACAAUAUAUAAAAAAGUCUAUUUUGUUUUUCUUUAACAAGAAAGAGAAACUUUAAGGAAAAAGGAUAAGGAAAACCUUGCAAUAGAAAACCAGUAUAAACAAGAAAAUGUUCAAAAAUGGAAUUAGAUGAAAAUAAUAGAAAAUUUGUGGAAUAGAGUUAAAAUUUACCCAGAAAAGAUAUUUAAUCAGUAAGAAAGGAAGAAAAAAUUAGCAAUAUUUGAUUUGAAGGUAAGUAUUUGAUCAAUUUCAAAAAUGAAGAAUGAAGGUGGGAGUGAAAAACUAAAUUCAUGAAGGUUGUCUAUAUUCAUCAAUUUGAGAAAAUAAGAACAAUGAAGGAAGGAAGUGAAAAAUUAAAAUCAUAAAAAUUGUACAUAUGAAAUAUUUGUGAAGUCUGGAUUUACAUGUUUAUAUAUUCCUGUAAGAGAAUUUUUUUUAAUUAUAUACUUUAGUUUUUAAACAUGCUUAUAUAUUCCUGUAAGAGCUUAAGUAUAUUAUUUUAGUUUUUAAACUUCAAAAUUUAACAUAAAACCAUUUAUUUUUGGUGUAGUAUUAAGAGGGAACCAAGUAACAUUUUUUUUUAAAUUCUUAACAUGUCAAUAAUAGUUUAAUCGAGUCAACCCACAGGUUGACCCAUUACGACCCAUUUUGUUUAUGUGUUGUGUUUGUGUUAACCUAUUUUUGACAUAAAUUAUCCCCUAUCAUGUUUCGUCUAGGUUUUUUCUCUAUCAUAUCUGUGUCGUACUCACGUGUUGUGUCAAGAGUUGCCACCCUUAAUUACAGCAAUCCCAAAACGGGCCCUUAAAAGAUUUGGGACAAGAAAUGGUACAGGAAAUGGGAUAGAAAAUGCUUUGUGCAUAUCUUAUCACUUUAUGGAAUUCCAUAGUUUUCCUAUUUGUAGGAGUUAUAAAUUAUCAAAAUUCCCCUUCAUUCUCUCCAUGACAAUUUUAAGUUUCAAAAAUAGCUCCAACCUUCCCCUUCAUUUUGUCCAUGUCAUUUCUUACUUUAUAGUAAAAGACGUAUAGUACAAUAUCUACCACCAACAAAUAUAUCCUUUCAAAAUAUGCAAAAGAUAGAUUGCGCCAUACACAAUAGUUUUAACAAAGUCAAAACUAAAGGUGGCAAUGGGCCAUGUCAUUUUCUUAUCUUGUCAUGCCAUAUCUUGUUCGUGUCAAAAAAUCUCAACUCUAAUUCAAUUCAUUAGACUUUCGUGCCAUGUCGUAUCUUGUGUGAGGACCUAAAUUUUCACAUUUAUUCAUUUUGGACCAAAUGUCUCAUAUUUUGCAUCAAGACAAAGGUUUUGUGUAUCUUUGCUCAAAUUUAGUUGUUUUGUUUGCAAAGUUGUUUUAUAAUCUGACAAUUUUUUCUCAUAUAUUUUUUUAUUGCCACUUACUUGCCUCAAAUUCUUGAUUGCUUCAAUGGUAAAUCAUGACUUUUUUUCCUAUUGUAUUAUCUCAUUUGGUGCAUGUUUAAUUUGGUACACGUUAGGUUUCAUAGUGUAUAAUACUAGUGUGACCGAUUAGUGAAGUGUGUAUCAUAAAUUUGGAGGAUUAGAGAGAGUUUUGGAUAAAAAGGAAUAUUAUGCUACAAGGUGUUAAGAGAUAAUUAGAGAUGGGAUGGAUAUUUUGGUGAAUGGAAGACAAUUAGAUAAGGGUUACAUCUUAAUUUGCCAUUUAUCAAUAAGCCACCAAGUUUGACCAAGACUAAAGCUUGAUCUUUAUCCUUAUUAAGCUUCCAUUUGACCACAAAAUAAUCUCCUUCACUAAGCUUCUUGGGAUGGACAAAAUUUGAGAGGAAAAGGAGAGAAAAAUACUCCAUUUUCGGCCUUGAUCUCUUUCUUGCCUGAAUCAUGAAGAAUCCAAAGAAAAAUCUUGAUCUACUCCAAUCAAUCUUGAGGUAAGUUUGGAGGGAAACUCUUGGUCAAAUUUUGGAAGAAGAAAAUCUUGUAUCCCUCUUGAUUUGCUUGUCAUCUUGGGGUUUUGACGUAAAUGUUCUAGGAAACAUCUCUUUUUAUUUGUUUCUUGAGAUUCAUCCACGAUAUGUCAUGAUUGAAGCUAAAGGAAGCAUAUUAAUGGAAGAUUUAAGAUUUUAUGGUUUUGUUAGGUUUUGGUGAAUUUUCCAGCUUUGAUUUCCAGAAAUUCAUGGUAAUUUUAGCAAGGUUUUUGCUUAGGAUACUUUGUUAAACCUUAAUCUUCACAUGUCUAUUGAAUUUGAGCCAAGGGAGUGAGAUUUUGUUAAGAAAAGUUUCAUUUUCUCAAGUUGUUGGAAAUCUGGAAAUUUUCACAGGGACCUCUAUGCAGCUUUGGCAAAUUGGUUAUAAUUUUGUAUAUAAAAGUUAGAAUUGAGUUCUGUUUGUUGCAUUUGAAACUAGACUCAUAGAGCUUCCAAUGAUAUAAAAUUCAGGGUUUGGUUCAAUUUCUAUAAAGACCAGAAAAUCUACAAAGUUUCUUGAAAAUCAUGACAGUUCUAUUUCUACACUUGUGAUAGCAGUGAUUUUAAACUGAAAUUUGACUAAUCUAUGAGCUGAAUUUCAUGAAGAUGUCUUCUAAAUCCUAUUAGUGCUUCGAGUUUAUUUUCUAAUGGUGUAAGUUUUGUGAUUUUUUGACCUAUGGAACUCAAGUUAUACCUUUUAAAAAAAUGUCACCAAAGCUGGGAAUUUUAUCAAAUGGAUUGAGUGGGAUUUGGAAAAAUUUGAAAAACUUUCUGGGUUUUAAACAUAACUUUCUUUGGUUAAAUCCUACAUAUUUUAUUUUAAAAUACUUAGUGGUGUGUUAACCUUAGCAUGCACGAAAUAUUUCACUUGAUUUGAGCAAGAAAACUUGGUGAUUUUGAAAAGAAAAAAGUUCAUCUUCCUUGGCUGUUUUCUAAGUUUCUUUGAGCUUUAACUCUAAAAUAUUGGCUGCGAACUUAUACCUUUUGGCUUGUUAAACUUUUAAUGCUUUAAACAUGGCAUGCAUGAGUCAAUUCAUUAGUUUUGGAGAAAUAUGAAGUAAUCAUGGUUAGAGAAUUGUAUGAAAGAAGCUAAGAGUAAGGACAAGGUUUCCAACCUUAUUUUCAUGCAUUUGGUUGCAAGACUCUAUACCUUUUAAGCUACAUGUUUGAUAAGUUUUAAAAUUAGAGUUUUCUGUGUCUUUCACUUGUUUUAAUCAAGGUGAUAAGUGUAAUUGUAGCUUGGGCAUGUCUCAGGAGUCGGUGGUGAGUUAGAAGGAAACCCCGAAGUCAAGACAUGACUAUCCACUUGAUUUGGUGAGUGUUUCAAUGGCAUGGUCUGACUUAUACUUGAUUUGAAUGCUAUUUUGAUGAGAUUAUCAAUUGUUUGAAAUGCUAGCUCUCUUGCAUUGAUAUUGGUUAGGCGAGUGUGUACUUUAUCGCACUCAACCUAAUUUGACUGGAUCACUGUUCUACUAUUUACAUGUAAAAUGAUAUAUAUGUGCUUGACUUCAAGUCGUUUGAGUAUUUUAUGCCAUCGACUAUAUUGAGGGACUUGAAAUGCAACACUCCAGUGUUUUACAAGUGUUUAUAAUGACUCCACUGAGUGAUUGACUUGAAAUGCAAGUGAAGUGCCUGAAAUCCCAAAUCCCAUUAACUAGUUAGUCGAAUCGAGUCAGCAAGAGUUUGGUCGAGAAGAUUGAUGAACCAUGAGUAGUGUUUAUUGUUUUAUCCACUGGAUGCGUCCUUUGGAUUUGGUAUACUCGAGUAUUAGCUCUACUAUUUAUUAUGUUUGGCGUGCGGGUCCGGUAGGGGGAUGAACAGUGGAUGGAGACUGGAGUGAAGUGGAGUUCUACUGGAGAUUGAUGGAGUGUCAACGGAUCCCAGACAAGCUAUUGUGGAACCUGCUCCUGAGAGCAGACUGUAUUCUUAUGUGUAAAAGUGUUAAUCGUUUAUCUGACUUGUUUACUUGAAAUGUGAAUGACUUAUGAAUGUCCACUUGCUUUGAUUUGAGCUUGCUUUGAGAUUGUGAUGUAUAUAACUGCCAACUUGCUACUUCGUUUGCAUAUUGUCUUGGAACCUCACUAGGCGAAAGCUCAUUCUUUUAAUUUGUUUUCCUUAGCAGGCAUUGG
This 19321-nucleotide long non-coding RNA is filed under the name Coffea arabica (coffee). RNAcentral describes it as "long non-coding RNA (CARA_LNC003452)". The record is from RNAcentral. Lineage: Eukaryota; Viridiplantae; Streptophyta; Magnoliopsida; Gentianales; Rubiaceae.